GUUGACCUCGGAUCAGGUAGGGAUACCCGCUGAACUUAAGCAUAUCAUUAAGCGGAGGAA
Molecule: ribosomal RNA, 60 nt
Filed under: Dothistroma septosporum
Lineage: Eukaryota; Fungi; Ascomycota; Dothideomycetes; Mycosphaerellales; Mycosphaerellaceae
Description: partial 28S ribosomal RNA
Rfam family: Eukaryotic large subunit ribosomal RNA
Source: RNAcentral